GAGAAAUGAGGAUAUUAUAUAGUCUGGAUUUAUUGAUGAAGACUACAGAUCCAACUCUGAUCUCACAACUGGA
Molecule: small nucleolar RNA, 73 nt
Filed under: Lepisosteus oculatus (spotted gar)
Lineage: Eukaryota; Metazoa; Chordata; Actinopteri; Semionotiformes; Lepisosteidae
Description: Small nucleolar RNA SNORD19
Rfam family: Small nucleolar RNA SNORD19
About the family: Homo sapiens C/D box snoRNA HBII-108: This snoRNA is the human orthologue of the mouse MBII-108 and is predicted to guide 2'O-ribose methylation of the small 18S rRNA on position G683. snoRNA HBII-108 is encoded in a nucleostemin (NS) gene intron like the HBII-210
Source: Rfam by way of RNAcentral